RNAcentral lists this ribosomal RNA (430 nucleotides) under uncultured bacterium. RNAcentral describes it as "bacterial SSU rRNA". It matches the Rfam family "Bacterial small subunit ribosomal RNA", at positions 917 to 1345 of the family's 1533-position model. The record is from RNAcentral.
GGACCCGCACAAGUAGUGGAGCAUGUGGUUUAAUUCGAAGAUACGCGCAGAACCUUACCAACACUUGACAUGUUCGUCGCGACUCUAAGAGAUUAGAGUUUUCGGUUCGGCCGGACGAAACACAGGUGCUGCAUGGCUGUCGUCAGCUCGUGUCGUGAGAUGUUGGGUUAAGUCCCGCAACGAGCGCAACCCUCACUUUUAGUUGCCAUCAUUAAGUUGGGCACUCUGAAAGAACUGCCAGUGAUAAGCUGGAGGAAGGUGGGGAUGACGUCAAGUCCUCAUGGCCCUUACGUGUUGGGCUACACACGUGCUACAAUGGUAUCUACAACAGGAAGCAAGACGGCGACGUCAAGCAAAUCCUUAAAAGAUACCUCAGUUCGGAUUGCACUCUGCAACUCGAGUGCAUGAAGCUGGAAUUACUAGUAAUCCC